This 422-nucleotide unclassified non-coding RNA is filed under the name Hevea brasiliensis (rubber tree). Lineage: Eukaryota; Viridiplantae; Streptophyta; Magnoliopsida; Malpighiales; Euphorbiaceae. The record is from RNAcentral.
GAUAAACGUAGGAAGAUGAUGAUUGGAUGCACUCAGCCUCGUAGAGUGGCUGCAAUGUCUGUUUCUCGACGUGUGGCGGAGGAGAUGGAUGUGAAUAUUGGUGAAGAGGUCGGUUAUAGCAUCCGUUUUGAGGACUGUAGCAGUGCAAGAACAGUUUUGAAGUAUUUAACUGAUGGUAUGCUUUUAAGAGAGGCAAUGACUGAUCCUCUUUUGGAAAGAUACAAAGUCAUAAUUCUUGAUGAAGCUCAUGAAAGAACUUUGGCAACAGAUGUGCUGUUUGGACUUCUUAAAGAAGUUUUAAGAAAUAGAUCUGAUCUGAAGCUAGUUGUUAUGAGUGCAACACUAGAGGCGGAGAAGUUUCAGGGUUAUUUUAAUGAUGCACCUCUGAUGAGAGUUCCUGGUAGACUUCAUCCAGUGGAGAU